AGUUCGUCUGUUCUGAUUGCGAAUAUUUUGAUACUUUUUCAAAUUUACAAGGUAUUGGUGUAUUGUUCUUCUCAUUGGAGCUUUUAGCUAAUUAAGUAUUUGUUUCAUUAAUAAAAAAACUCUGAUGAUCGUCCUGAGAACCUGAUUGCCGGUCGUUUUGUAAUCUUAAAAAACAAAUACGAGCUCUGAAUACGAGUAGGAAUGUCAUCAGAUGAAGAAGCGCGAGUCUGGUUAAGAGAACACUUUCUGCGAACACUAACCAAACUCAAUGGAGUGGAAGCUGUUUUCACUAUGCAUGAAAAUAUUACAGUUACUGGUCAAUAUGAAUGCUCCAGUGCUGAUUUAAAAUAUUUUCAUGUCUCUGGCCUAAAAACUCCUUUGGGGAACUGUAAACAAUCUCUUUUGAGAUCUAGUGAUGUAAUCAGCAUUGAUUUCAAAACACCUUCCAGUCUAUUCCCUUUACCAGUUUCAACUACUGUUUCCAAAGAUUGUUUACAGAGUCAAUAAAUUUGUUUGGUUCAA
Molecule: long non-coding RNA, 522 nt
Organism: Daphnia pulex (common water flea)
Lineage: Eukaryota; Metazoa; Arthropoda; Branchiopoda; Diplostraca; Daphniidae
Exons: 3
Source: RefSeq, a predicted model, not a curated record